Long non-coding RNA from Hyla sarda, 592 nucleotides. RefSeq lists it as uncharacterized. The transcript has 3 exons. NCBI's taxonomy places the organism in Eukaryota, Metazoa, Chordata, Amphibia, Anura, Hylidae. The record is from RefSeq and is a predicted model, not a curated record.
UGGAAACCCCCCACUCUGCCCACCCUUGGAUGUCGGGCAGAACUGGGGGAGAAGAUGGCGGCCGGUACCUGUGGAGAAGAUGCGGUGGGGAUCGGCGAUCAUCGGUAGCAUCAGCGGAGAUCAGCGGCGCCGCCGCUUAGUACUAGGCCCCACAGCAACACUACAGCGAUGUGUGAACCCAGCCGGAGGAGACAUGCGCCUGUGUGAUCAUAACCAGGACAGAUUCUCUGGAAGUAAACGCCAAAGGUAUCAAGAACAAGUUGUAAGAAUAAAAAUAAUAAGAAGAACAAAAACCUAAUUAAUGGAGUCCACUGUCACUAAUAGACCCCUACAGUAGCCCCAGGACUAUGACCUUUCUGUAUCUAGACAACACUAGACAAAAUGACCUACAUAGCACUCGGCUUUGCUAGUUGCCCUGUAUACAUUAAAAGUGGAUGAUGUAUGGAAUCAAUAAUGUAACUGCAUUUAAUGAAUGCUGAUACUCAUGUGAUCUCUGAAUAUAUAGUUUAUUUCUGCAGCUUAAAGGGUUGUCUGAUGCCAUACAAUUGAUCUAGGCAGAUUGGUGCUACAGCUGUGUCAAAAUUAAAGGGCU